AUGGUGAUGUGGCCCGUGGCCAGUAGGUGUCCCCGGAGCCUGCAGAAUCUGGGGAGCGAGGUGGCGCCCGUGAGCCCCUGCUGUGGUCACACCAGGAGCGCCUCCCACCCAGCCGGGCCCACGGAGGUCCCCGGAGCCACCUGUGCCAGGAGCCGGGGCAGCAGUGCACACGCAGCUGUGUAUACGUGGGGAACACAGAGACACAGGGUGUACGUGGGGCACACAGCACACGGAGACACAGGGUGUACGUGGGGCACACAGCACACGGAGACACAGGGUGUACAUGGGGCAUGCACACAGCACACGGAGACACAGGGUGUGCGUGGGGCACACACACACAGCACACGGAGACACAGGGUGUACAUGGGGCACACACACAGCACACGGAGACACAGGGUGUACAUGGGGCACACACAGCACACGGAGACACAGGGUGUACAUGGGGCACACAGCACACGGAGACACAGGGUGUACAUGGGGCACACACAGCACACGGAGACACAGGGUGUACAUGGAGCACACACAGCACACGGAGACACAGGGUGUACAUGGGGCACACACAGCACACGGAGACACAGGGUGUACAUGGGGCACACACACAGCACACGGAGACACAGGGUGUACAUGGGGCACACACACAGCACACGGAGACACAGGGUGUACAUGGGGCACACACACAGCACACGGAGACACAGGGUGUACACGGAAAACAGAGACACAAAGUACAUGGGGAAUAGCACACACAGGCACAGAGACAGCAAGUGUAUACGUGUGCAGGGCACACGGAGAUGCAGGGUGUACAUGGGGAACACACAGAGACCUACACACACAUGCAGUACCUGCAGGGCACACGCGGAGACAGAGUGUACAUGGGGAACCCAGCACACGCAGGGCACAUGGAGAUGCAGGGUGUACGCGGGGAACACACAGAGACACACACACACACGGUACCUGCAGGGCACACAUGGAGACAAAGGGCGUACACGGGGACCACAGCACAUGCAGGGCACACGGAGAUGCACAGUGUACAUGGGGAAAACACAGAGACCCACACAUAGACACGGUACCCACAGGGCACACAUGGAGGCAGAGGGUGUACAUGGAGACAGAGGGCAUACACGGGGAACACACAGAGAUGCAGGGUGUACGCGGGGAACACACAGAGACCCCCCCCCACGGUACCUGCAGGGCACACAUGGAGACAGAGGGUGUACACGGGGACCACAGCAUACGCAGGGCACAUGGAGAUGCACGGUGUACAUGGGGAAAACACAGAGACCCACACACAGGCACGGUACCUGCAGGGCACACAUGGAGACAGAGGGUGUACAUGGGGAACAGAGACCCACACACAGACACAGCACAUGCAGGGCACACAUGGAGACAGAGGGCAUGCACGGGGACCACAGCAUACGCAGGGCACACGGAGAUGCACAGUGUACAUGGGGAAAACACAGAGACCCACACACAGGCACGGUACCUGCAGGGCACACAUGGAGACAGAGGGCGUACACGAGGAACACACAGAGACCCCACACACACAUGGUACCCGCAGGGCACACAUGGAGAGGGCGUACAUGCAGGGCACACGGAGCUACACGGUGUACAUGGGGAACACGCACACACGGUACCCACAGAGGGCAUACACACAGGGCACACGGAGCUACACGGUGUACAUGGGGAACACGCACACACAUGCACGGUACCCACAGGGCACACAUGGAGAUGGCGUACACGGGGAACACAGCGAGACCCCCCCCAUGGUACCCGCAGGGCACAGAUGGAGAGGGCUUACACGCAGGGCACAUGGAGCUGCAUGGUGUAUAUCAGGAACACACAGAGGCACACACACACACACGGUACCCACAGAGCACAUACAGAGACAGAGGGCGUACACACAGGGCACACGGAGCUACACGGUGUACACAGGGAACACACACACACACACACGGUACUCGCAGGGCACACGGAGACACAGCUGUGCACUUCUCCAGGCCUCAGGAGCCUCCUGAAGUCAGAGCCCUGGAUCCAGACACUGAUCAGACAGGUGCCCCCCCACCUUCCCACAGGACCAAGGCCGUGUGA
This 2085-nucleotide long non-coding RNA is filed under the name Oryctolagus cuniculus (rabbit). RNAcentral's name for it is "lncRNA (ENSOCUG00000039548.1)". Lineage: Eukaryota; Metazoa; Chordata; Mammalia; Lagomorpha; Leporidae. The record is from RNAcentral.